This 449-nucleotide ribosomal RNA is filed under the name Durvillaea potatorum. Its description in RNAcentral is "LSU rRNA". It matches the Rfam family "Eukaryotic large subunit ribosomal RNA", at positions 106 to 545 of the family's 3401-position model. Lineage: Eukaryota; Phaeophyceae; Fucales; Durvillaeaceae. The record is from RNAcentral.
AGCUCACCUUGUGAAUCUGCCAUUCUUGGCCGAAUUGUAGUCUGGAGAGGCGUGACCAGCCGUCGGCGAGGGCGAAGUCUCUUGGAAAAGAGCAUCAUGGAGGGUGACAAUCCCGUCGUUGCCCCCGCGCGGCGCGCGUAUGGUCCGUUUUCGACGAGUCGAGUUGCUUGGGAUUGCAGCUCAAAGUGGGUGGUAAAUUCCAUCUAAAGCUAAACACGCGUGGGAGACCGAUAGCGAACAAGUACCGUGAGGGAAAGAUGCAAAGAACUUUGAAAAGAGAGUUAAAGAGUGCCUGAAAUUGCUGAAAGGGAAGCGAAGGAAAUCAGUGUCUGUCGGUCUUGCUUCUCCGUUCGUCUUCGGGCGUUCGGAUCGCGGUUCCGGCGUGGCCAGGGCCGGGUGUCUUUGCGGGAGCCUGCGCGGGGGGAGGUACGUCUCUUCGGAGAGGGAAU